AGGCAUAUACUGUAUUUUUUUUUAAAGAUUUUAUUUAUUUAUUUGUGGCUACAUUGAGACACAGGUUAUGUUUCCAUCACAGCAAGUUUAUUGCUGUGGUGACAAUGAGGCCUGUAACAUUU
Mustela lutreola (European mink) is the source of this 122-nucleotide small nucleolar RNA. RefSeq annotates it as small nucleolar RNA SNORA1. The transcript has a single exon. Lineage: Eukaryota; Metazoa; Chordata; Mammalia; Carnivora; Mustelidae. The record is from RefSeq and is a predicted model, not a curated record.